GUGGGGAAUAUUGGACAAUGGGCGAAAGCCUGAUCCAGCCAUGCCGCGUGUGUGAAGAAGGUCUUCGGAUUGUAAAGCACUUUAAGUUGGGAGGAAGGGCAGUAAGUUAAUACCUUGCUGUUUUGACGUUACCGACAGAAUAAGCACCGGCUAACUUCGUGCCAGCAGCCGCGGUAAUACGAAGGGUGCAAGCGUUAAUCGGAAUUACUGGGCGUAAAGCGCGCGUAGGUGGUUUUGUAAGUUGGAGGUGAAAUCCCCGGGCUCAACCUGGGAACUGCCUCCCAAACUGCAUGACUAGAGUACGGUAGAGGGUAGUGGAAUUUCCUGUGUAGCGGUGAAAUGCGUAGAUAUAGGAAGGAACACCAGUGGCGAAGGCGACUACCUGGACUGAUACUGACACUGAGGUGCGAAAGCGUGGGGAGCAAACAGGAUUAGAAACCCGGGUAGUCC
RNAcentral lists this ribosomal RNA (450 nucleotides) under uncultured bacterium. Its description in RNAcentral is "bacterial SSU rRNA". It matches the Rfam family "Bacterial small subunit ribosomal RNA", at positions 354 to 796 of the family's 1533-position model. The record is from RNAcentral.